This 506-nucleotide ribosomal RNA is filed under the name Alternaria sp. Its description in RNAcentral is "eukaryotic LSU rRNA". The stretch from base 152 to 305 matches the Rfam family "5.8S ribosomal RNA". Lineage: Eukaryota; Fungi; Ascomycota; Dothideomycetes; Pleosporales; Pleosporaceae. The record is from RNAcentral.
GCGGGCUGGACCUCUCGGGGUUACAGCCUUGCUGAAUUAUUCACCCUUGUCUUUUGCGUACUUCUUGUUUCCUUGGUGGGUUCGCCCACCACUAGGACAAACAUAAACCUUUUGUAAUUGCAAUCAGCGUCAGUAACAAAUUAAUAAUUACAACUUUCAACAACGGAUCUCUUGGUUCUGGCAUCGAUGAAGAACGCAGCGAAAUGCGAUAAGUAGUGUGAAUUGCAGAAUUCAGUGAAUCAUCGAAUCUUUGAACGCACAUUGCGCCCUUUGGUAUUCCAAAGGGCAUGCCUGUUCGAGCGUCAUUUGUACCCUCAAGCUUUGCUUGGUGUUGGGCGUCUUGUCUCUAGCUUUGCUGGAGACUCGCCUUAAAGUAAUUGGCAGCCGGCCUACUGGUUUCGGAGCGCAGCACAAGUCGCACUCUCUAUCAGCAAAGGUCUAGCAUCCAUUAAGCCUUUUUUCAACUUUUGACCUCGGAUCAGGUAGGGAUACCCGCUGAACUUAAG